Molecule: ribosomal RNA, 497 nt
Filed under: uncultured bacterium
Lineage: Bacteria
Description: partial 16S ribosomal RNA
Rfam family: Bacterial small subunit ribosomal RNA
Source: RNAcentral
GAUGAACGCUGGCGGCGUGCCUAAUACAUGCAAGUCGAGCGAACAGACGAGGAGCUUGCUCCUCUGACGUUAGCGGCGGACGGGUGAGUAACACGUGGAUAACCUACCUAUAAGACUGGGAUAACUUCGGGAAACCGGAGCUAAUACCGGAUAAUAUAUUGAACCGCAUGGUUCAAUAGUGAAAGACGGUUUUGCUGUCACUUAUAGAUGGAUCCGCGCCGCAUUAGCUAGUUGGUAAGGUAACGGCUUACCAAGGCAACGAUGCGUAGCCGACCUGAGAGGGUGAUCAGCCACACUGGAACUGAGACACGGUCCAGACUCCUACGGGAGGCAGCAGUAGGGAAUCUUCCGCAAUGGGCGAAAGCCUGACGGAGCAACGUCGCGUGAGUGAUGAAGGUCUUCGGAUCGUAAAACUCUGUUAUUAGGGAAGAACAAAUGUGUAAGUAACUAUGCACGUCUUGACGGUACCUAAUCAGAAAGCCACGGCUAACUACGUG